This 484-nucleotide ribosomal RNA is filed under the name uncultured Eubacteriales bacterium. RNAcentral's name for it is "bacterial SSU rRNA". It matches the Rfam family "Bacterial small subunit ribosomal RNA", at positions 8 to 507 of the family's 1533-position model. The record is from RNAcentral. Lineage: Bacteria; Bacillati; Bacillota; Clostridia; Eubacteriales.
AGAGUUUGAGUCCUGGCUCAGGACAACGCUGGCGGCACGCUUAACACAUGCAAAGUCAACGGACUUGAGAGGGCUUGCUCUCUUAAGUUAGUGGCGGACGGGUGAGUAACACGUGAGCAACCUGCCUUUAAGAGUGGGAUAACGGUCGGAAACGACCGCUAAUACCGCAUAACAUACACGAACCGCAUGGUUUGUGUAUCAAAGAUUUAUCGCUUAAAGAUGGGCUCGCGUCUGAUUAGCUUGUUGGUGAGGUAACGGCUCACCAAGGCGACGAUCAGUAGCCGUACUGAGAGGUAGAACGGCCACAUUGGGACUGAGACACGGCCCAGACUCCUACGGGAGGCAGCAGUGGGGAAUAUUGCACAAUGGAGGAAACUCUGAUGCAGCGAUGCCGCGUGAGGGACGAAGGUUUUCGGAUUGUAAACCUCUGUCUUAAGGGACGAUAAUGACGGUACCUUAGGAGGAAGCUCCGGCUAACUACGUG